AUUUAUAUAGUUUAAAUUAAAACUUUACAUUUUCAUUGUAAUAUUAAAAUAAUAUUAUUUUUAUAAAUA
This 69-nucleotide transfer RNA is filed under the name Abisara chela. Its description in RNAcentral is "tRNA-Glu". The record is from RNAcentral. Lineage: Eukaryota; Metazoa; Arthropoda; Insecta; Lepidoptera; Riodinidae.